UACGUAGGGUGCAAGCGUUACUCGGAAUUACUGGGCGUAAAGCGUGCGCAGGCGGCUUUGCAAGUCAGGUGUGAAAUCCCCGGGCUUAACCUGGGAAUUGCGCUUGUUACUGGCAGACUAGAGUGCGUCAGAGGGAGGUGGAAUUCCACGUGUAGCAGUGAAAUGCGUAGAGAUGUGGAGGAACACCGAUGGCGAAGGCAGCCUCCUGGGAUGACACUGACGCUGAGACACGAAAGCGUGGGGAGCAAACAGG
Molecule: ribosomal RNA, 253 nt
Filed under: uncultured bacterium
Lineage: Bacteria
Description: partial 16S ribosomal RNA
Rfam family: Bacterial small subunit ribosomal RNA
Source: RNAcentral